This 426-nucleotide ribosomal RNA is filed under the name uncultured bacterium. RNAcentral's name for it is "bacterial SSU rRNA". It matches the Rfam family "Bacterial small subunit ribosomal RNA", at positions 354 to 796 of the family's 1533-position model. The record is from RNAcentral.
GCAAGGAAUCUUGGGCAAUGGGCGAAAGCCUGACCCAGCGACGCCGCGUGAGGGAUGACGGCCUUCGGGUUGUAAACCUCUUUUCUCAGGGAAGAAUAAUGACGGUACCUGAGGAAUAAGUCUCGGCUAACUACGUGCCAGCAGCCGCGGUAAUACGUAGGAGGCGAGCGUUAUCCGGAUUUAUUGGGCGUAAAGUGGGCGUAGGUGGUCUUUCAAGUCGGAUGUGAAAUCUCCCGGCUCAACUGGGAGGGGUCAUCCGAUACUGUUGGACUUGAGUACAGCAGGGGAAAAUGGAAUUCCCGGUGUAGUGGUGAAAUGCGUAGAUAUCGGGAGGAACACCAGAGGCGAAGGCGAUUUUCCAGGCUGAAACUGACACUGAGGCCCGAAAGCGUGGGGAGCGAACAGGAUUAGAAACCCCUGUAGUCC